CGUUAUGAUGCGGAAAGAGGAGUCUGUAACGAAAUCUGAUACCUCUGUAGGCGCUUAUCCUCACGCUUUAGCUGGUUUUUGUGCUGGUUUUUUGAGCACUGUAUUACUUCACCCGUUGGAUCUUAUUAAAGUCCGUUUACAAGUACAAAACUCUCUUUCCAAGGAUUUGUAUUGUUACCAUUACUCAAACACCUUUCAAGCACUAAAGUUUAUAUAUAAGACUGAAGGAUUUCCUGGACUUUACCAGGGUUGUACCCC
This is a long non-coding RNA of Zophobas morio, 258 nucleotides long. RefSeq lists it as uncharacterized. Lineage: Eukaryota; Metazoa; Arthropoda; Insecta; Coleoptera; Tenebrionidae. The record is from RefSeq and is a predicted model, not a curated record. The transcript has 3 exons.